RNAcentral lists this ribosomal RNA (465 nucleotides) under Vreelandella stevensii. Its description in RNAcentral is "partial 16S ribosomal RNA". It matches the Rfam family "Bacterial small subunit ribosomal RNA", at positions 338 to 795 of the family's 1533-position model. The record is from RNAcentral. Lineage: Bacteria; Pseudomonadati; Pseudomonadota; Gammaproteobacteria; Oceanospirillales; Halomonadaceae.
CCUACGGGGGGCUGCAGUGGGGAAUAUUGGACAAUGGGGGGAACCCUGAUCCAGCCAUGCCGCGUGUGUGAAGAAGGCCCUCGGGUUGUAAAGCACUUUCAGUGAGGAAGAACGCCUGGUGGUUAAUACCCAUCAGGAAAGACAUCACUCACAGAAGAAGCACCGGCUAACUCCGUGCCAGCAGCCGCGGUAAUACGGAGGGUGCGAGCGUUAAUCGGAAUUACUGGGCGUAAAGCGCGCGUAGGUGGCUUGAUAAGCCGGUUGUGAAAGCCCCGGGCUCAACCUGGGAACGGCAUCCGGAACUGUCAAGCUAGAGUGCAGGAGAGGAAGGUAGAAUUCCCGGUGUAGCGGUGAAAUGCGUAGAGAUCGGGAGGAAUACCAGUGGCGAAGGCGGCCUUCUGGACUGACACAGACACUGAGGUGCGAAAGCGUGGGUAGCAAACAGGAUUAGAUACCCUUGUAGUC